ACUCAAAUGAAUAGACGGGGAGGCGCACAACCGGUGGAGCGUGUGGUUCAAUUCGAGACGAAGCGAAAAACCUCACCAGGGCUUGACAUGUUGUCGUACAGUCCGCCAGAAACGGCGGACAAUCCGCAAGGAUGAUAACACAGGUGUUGCAUGGCUGUCGUCAGCUCUAGGCGUGAGCUGUAGGCUUAAGUGCCAUAUAGAGCGCAACUCUUGUCCAAUGUUACAUAUUCAUUGGAGACAGCCCCGCCUUUGGCGGGGAGGAAGGGAAGCACGACGUCAAGUCAGCACGACCCUUAUGCCCUGGGCUACACACACCCUACAAUGGCGAAUAACAAUGAGUUGCAAGCCGGUAACGGCAAGCUAAUCUCUGAAAUUUCGCCCCAGUUCAGAUUGGGGUCUGAAACCCGACCCCAUGAAGUCGGAAUCGGUAGUAAUCGCGGAUCAGCAGGCCGCGGUGAAUACGUUCUCGCCUCUUGUACACACCGCCCGU
RNAcentral lists this ribosomal RNA (490 nucleotides) under uncultured bacterium. RNAcentral describes it as "partial 16S ribosomal RNA". It matches the Rfam family "Bacterial small subunit ribosomal RNA", at positions 899 to 1397 of the family's 1533-position model. The record is from RNAcentral.